RNAcentral lists this ribosomal RNA (425 nucleotides) under uncultured bacterium. Its description in RNAcentral is "partial 16S ribosomal RNA". It matches the Rfam family "Bacterial small subunit ribosomal RNA", at positions 359 to 776 of the family's 1533-position model. The record is from RNAcentral.
GAAUAUUGGACAAUGGGCGAAAGCCUGAUCCAGCCAUGCCGCGUGUGUGAAGAAGGUCAUCGGAUUAUAAAGCACUUUAAGUUAGGAGGAAGGGCAGUAAGUUAAUACCUUGCUGUUUUUACGUUACCGAUAGUAUAAGCACCGGCUAAUCUCGUUCCAGCAGCCGCCGUACUACUAAGGGUGCAAGCGUUAAUCGGAAUUACUGGGCGUAAAGCGCGCGUAGGUGGUUCGUUAAGUUGGAAGUGAAAGCCCCGGGCUUAACCUGGGAAUUGCUUUCAAAACUGACGAGCUAGAGUACGGCAGAGGGUGGUGGAAUUUCCUGUGUAGCGGUGAAAUGCGUAGAUAUAGGAAGGAACACCAGUGGCGAAGGCGACCACCUGGGCUAAUACUGACACUGAGGUGCGAAAGCGUGGGGAGCAAACAGG